This 425-nucleotide ribosomal RNA is filed under the name uncultured soil bacterium. Its description in RNAcentral is "bacterial SSU rRNA". It matches the Rfam family "Bacterial small subunit ribosomal RNA", at positions 966 to 1393 of the family's 1533-position model. The record is from RNAcentral.
GAACCUUACCUGGGCUCGAAAUGCUAUGGACCGGAGUAGAAAUAUUCCUUCCCGCAAGGGGCCGUAGUAUAGGUGCUGCAUGGCUGUCGUCAGCUCGUGUCGUGAGAUGUUGGGUUAAGUCCCGCAACGAGCGCAACCCUUACUUCCAGUUGCCAUCAUUUAGUUGGGCACUCUGGCAGAACCGCCUCGGAUAACGGGGAGGAAGGUGGGGAUGACGUCAAGUCCUCAUGGCCUUUAUGUCCAGGGCUACACACGUGCUACAAUGGCCGGUACAAACCGUCGCAAACCCGUGAGGGGGAGCUAAUCGGAAAAAGCCGGCCUCAGUUCGGAUUGUAGUCUGCAACUCGACUACAUGAAGCUGGAAUCGCUAGUAAUCGCGGAUCAGAAUGCCGCGGUGAAUACGUUCCCGGGCCUUGUCACACCGA